AGUUCUACUACAUUCUAGGUAGAUACAAGAGUGUUCUAGAGAGUUCUAGAGUGUUUUAGAGAGUUCUAAAGAGCUCUAGAGAGUUCUAGAGAGUUCUAGAGAGUUCUAGAGAGUUCUAGAGAUCUCUAUAAAUCUCUACACCUAGUAGAAUAUACAAGAUAACUCUAGAGGGGUCUAGAGUCUUCCAGGGCCUUCCGGGGCANNNNNNNNNNNNNNNNNNNNNNNNNNNNNNNNNNNNNNNNNNNNNNNNNNNNNUGGCUGCCCUUGCUGCCCAUGGCCGAAUCUAGAAGCCUCCACAUGAUUCUAGGCUUGUCUUCAACAAUCUGCACAAUUCUAGAGUCUUCCAGGGCCUUUCGGGGCACGCUGGACUGUUCCGGAAGCAUUUUGGAGCUGUUUUGAGCCUGUUUUGGGGCGAAAAUAGUGCCGUCCGUAACAUUACUCUUGGGGAGACUCGAACUCACAACCUCUCGGUUGGAAGUGGGGGUUGCUUACCAUCAGAGCAACCCCUUUUGUCAAAAAACUGUAAAGCCAUUUGCUUUCUGGAAAAUGAAACCCCAAUACAAUUUCAAGCAAAGACGAAAAGGAUUCAUGGCAUAAUGCCUAAUCCAAACAGAGAAGGAAUGACAUGAAAUUUUCUGUCUAUAAAUGCUCGUAGGUUAAUAUGAAAUAAGAAGUGUCUGCCGUAGCAAUCACUAGUUGAUUCCAUGAUUUGAAGACAAGACAAAACUGUUGCCUUGGCUAACAUUGGAUUCACAAAUAUAAGUAUUUGAAGAUUGCUAAAGCAUAAUCAAAAUUGUAUUGACGUGGAAAACCAAUAUCUCACGGUCCAUGAAUCAGUGGGUGGCAAGGUGUGUGAAUUCAAUGGGAUUUUCAACCAGAAUGGAAUUUUGUUGAAACUAAUGUCGUCGCUGUUCGAAUAAAUUUUGUCCAAUGAAUUUGUUUCAUCUUUCUGUUAGCAUGUGGAAAUCCAUGAUAACUUUCAAUUCACAUAAAAGUUGUCUUGUGAUGAUGGAAAGCCGAGCAGUGAUUGUUGCGGCCAUGUAACGUUGGGCUUACACCGCGGAACAUUGCUAUCUUUGUGUUUUUUAUUUAUUUGUCGAAAAUUAAAGUGUAAGUGAUUUUAUAUUCGUUUUGAAGAUUAAAAUUUUAGUAAUUUUUUACUUUAAUAUAUUAUUUUAUUUGAAGAUUAAAAAUUUACCGUUUAUUAAAUUUGAUUGUGUCACAUAUCAUUCGAUUUAAAAAUUAA
RNAcentral lists this long non-coding RNA (1246 nucleotides) under Nicotiana benthamiana. RNAcentral's name for it is "long non-coding RNA (NBEN_LNC039769)". Lineage: Eukaryota; Viridiplantae; Streptophyta; Magnoliopsida; Solanales; Solanaceae. The record is from RNAcentral.